This 343-nucleotide unclassified non-coding RNA is filed under the name soil metagenome. RNAcentral describes it as "partial contains 5.8S ribosomal RNA, internal transcribed spacer 2, and large subunit ribosomal RNA". The stretch from base 1 to 120 matches the Rfam family "5.8S ribosomal RNA", at positions 35 to 154 of the family's 154-position model. The record is from RNAcentral.
GAUGAAGAACGCAGCGAAAUGCGAUAAGUAAUGUGAAUUGCAGAAUUCAGUGAAUCAUCGAAUCUUUGAACGCACAUUGCGCCCGCCAGCAUUCUGGCGGGCAUGCCUGUUCGAGCGUCAUUUCAACCCUCGAGCCCCCCCGGGGGCCUCGGUGUUGGGGGACGGCACACCAGCCGCCCCCGAAAUGCAGUGGCGACCCCGCCGCAGCCUCCCCUGCGUAGUAGCACACACCUCGCACCGGAGCGCGGAGGCGGUCACGCCGUAAAACGCCCAACUUCCUUAGAGUUGACCUCGGAUCAGGUAGGAAUACCCGCUGAACUUAAGCAUAUCAAUAAGCGGAGGA